Molecule: long non-coding RNA, 359 nt
Filed under: Elaeis guineensis (African oil palm)
Lineage: Eukaryota; Viridiplantae; Streptophyta; Magnoliopsida; Arecales; Arecaceae
Description: long non-coding RNA (EGUI_LNC058395)
Source: RNAcentral
GUUUGGGGAAAGUUUUCUUUGGUUCUGUGGUUGUGAAAUAGUGGUUUGUCGAAGUACUAAGUCCCCCACUCUGAAGGCUUUGCUCUUGACCUGGGAGUUGUAGUAGCGGGCUACUUUCUGCUUGUAGGCUGCCAUCCGAACUUGAGCUAUUUUCCGCUUUUCUUCUAACAAGUCGAGGUUGGCCUUGAGAUCCUGUGAGUUAUGCUGCUCGUCGAAUGCCACGACUCGCACCGACGGAAGCUUGAGUUCGAUCAGAAUCAUGGCUUCUGUUCCGAAGGCUAAGGCAAAGGGGAUCUCUCCCAUGAGCAGUCUCUGGGUAGUUCGGUAUGCCCACAACACAUGAUAAAGCUCAUCCGCCC